CCGUAUGUCAGAAACAAACAUCUCAAACGAAAAUUUUCAAGUACCCGAAAUUUAUUGUUAACACUAAAAUAGUCCUAAAAUAAUCAUUUCCAAAUAACGGAUGCGGGCGGCGGACCAGAAACUAAAGAUCAACUUGUAGGGGCCUAAAAGAUGGUGGAGGAUUUGACAUUUUGAGACGGGGUGUGCAGGCCAGUGACCUGAUCGUAAUCCAACCACCUCGAUCUGGAUAUAACGUGCCAUUUUUGAGGGAUUUAUCGGGGUUAGGACAGGCUGUGGCAUUUAUCAGACCAAUCCAAUGCAAUUUGAGUAUGACACCUUGUGUAGAUUUUGACUUGAGUGAAGAUGAUGGAAAUUGUGAUCCUGCACCCACUGUUAUGUGUUUCAACUGCAAACUUUAUGUUUCUAUCAAUGAUAUCAGGCAACAUCAACAAUGCUGUAAUGAUGAUGAUGAAAUAAUAAAGAGUGUAAUUAAAGAUGAUACAAGUAAACAAAAUAAUGAUGGAUUGGGUAAUCAGG
Long non-coding RNA from Dendronephthya gigantea, 516 nucleotides. RefSeq lists it as uncharacterized. NCBI's taxonomy places the organism in Eukaryota, Metazoa, Cnidaria, Anthozoa, Malacalcyonacea, Nephtheidae. The transcript has 3 exons. The record is from RefSeq and is a predicted model, not a curated record.